CAGGGAGAAGCCUGCAGGGCCCGUGUCACCUACCAUCUAUCUCACAGCGAGUCGUGGGGGCGUGGGGAUGGGAGAGGAGUCCUGACCUAGACCUUUAGCUACAGAGGCCUAGAAGUGGAGCAGGUCAUGAACUGUUUCCAAGCUGGGCACAGGGGUCCAGGUGGAAGGACAGAGAGGCGUUGCCUUACACAGGAGGGAGCAGGCAGAGGAUGUCAGAGGGACUCUCAUCUCUCUCCUCUCUCCUGAGGAGGAAAGAGUGAAGCCUGCCUCCACAUUCCCACUUUGCCACCUUGAACAAGUCACUUCACCUUCCUGACUGGCAGCUGUGUCCUCUACAAAGUGGACACAGUAAUACCUGUCUUGUAGGGCUGUUAAGUGGCUGGGACAAGGCUGGCAUCAGAAGAUCUUCAACAAGUAAGAGUUCUCUCCCAAUUCAUCACCCUUCAGUCAGAGCGCUGGGCAGUAGCUGUCUCCAUAUUCUAAAGCAAGGGGACUCACUUUAAGGGAGAUAUUUAGGAUUCACAAGCUUCAUUAGAGAUCUGAUGUGCUUGGUCUGGGAGGUGUCCAGGAGCAAAGAGAUGUUUAGAAGCUCCCCAAGUGACUCCAGUGGGCCACCGGGGCUGAGCAUUCCUUGUGAUUCUACUGAUAAAGAUCAAGUUAAUGAAUAAAAUUAGCUUUUUUUCUUAUUGCACUUUAGGGACAAGUGCAGCUGAAUGAGGGUCUUGGGGUCCAAAGACUUGGGAAAUUAAAGAAAUUUAACCCCUUUGGACACUAGGGUCAACUCUGAAAUGUUGUUUAAAGCUUGGAUGUUUUGCCAAACCCGGUUUAAGUUUGCUUUUUUUGAAUAACAUGAUGAACAGUUCUGUGUUGAUUUUUUUCCCCUCCCUAUUAUUUUGCAAUGGCCCUUAUUCAAAGGCCUGCAAAAUUUGAUGAAUGAUAUCCCUCUGAUACACAUGUCUAAGAAUAAAUUAGAAAAUAUUUGAAAUUCAUUGAAAUAUAUAUAGGGGCAAGUGUCAUUUGGUUCUACAAGGAUUGAGGGUCUAUAGAAAGACGUCUUUCAGAAUAAAUGUCAAGCAUUCUUUUCAGAUGAAUAAGUCCCUACAGAGGUCCAUCAUGACUGGUCAGUUAAUCCCUCAGUUCAACUAAUAACUGUUCACUGAUUCUUUGAAAGGAGUUCUGGAAUGGGGUUGGGGCUCUAACAGACGCAGGAAUGACAUAGAAACUCUUGAUCCAGUCCUGGGAAACUGAUGCUUUCUUUCCUUUCAUAAGCCAGAGGGAUCUGGCAGUGUUUUCUCAGACUUCUCUCUUUUACUCUUGGAAUCUUCAUGCCCUCUGAGAUUUAAUGAGUAGUUUUCAAAGUGUGGUCCCUGGACCAGCUGCAUUAGCAUCAUCUGGGCACUUGUUAGGAAUGCAAAUUGCCCUGCCCACACAGCAUACUGACUGAAUCAGAAAUUCUGGGCUGGGGCCCAGCCAUCAACGUUUUCACCAACUUCCCAGGAGAUUCUGAUCCACUAGGGUUAAGAACUAAAAGCACAGACGGAUCGUGGACAAACUUGGCUUCAAAAUCAGCUCUGCCACUUAUCACUCAGGACACCCACAAACUUCACUGCUAAUAUCUUCCUGGAAGACGCUUCUCUCCACCUUGGAUCAGGAACAAGAUAAGAAUGUCACUCUCACUGUGACUCUAUGCUAUACCAGAGGCUCCAGAUAGUUUAUUAAGUCAAGAAAAAGAAAUGAAAGGUAUAUACGUUGGAGAAGUAAAAUUGCCUUUAUGUACAAAUGACACGACUGUUUACAGAGAAAAGCUGAUGGAAUCUACAGUAAAGCUACUAAAACUAAGUGAGUUUAGUGAGGCUGCAGGGUACCAAAUCAAUGUACAAAGAUCAACAUUAUU
Long non-coding RNA from Bos taurus (domestic cattle), 1894 nucleotides. The record is from Ensembl. Lineage: Eukaryota; Metazoa; Chordata; Mammalia; Artiodactyla; Bovidae.